RNAcentral lists this ribosomal RNA (930 nucleotides) under uncultured bacterium. RNAcentral describes it as "bacterial SSU rRNA". It matches the Rfam family "Bacterial small subunit ribosomal RNA", at positions 8 to 916 of the family's 1533-position model. The record is from RNAcentral.
AGAGUUUGAUCCUGGCUCAGAAUGAACGCUGGCGGCGUGCUUAACACAUGCAAGUCGAGCGAGGCCAGGGGGGCAACUCCCUGAGUCGAGCGGCGGACGGGUGAGUAACACGUGGGUAACCUACCCGGAAGUGGGGAAUACCUCGGGGAAACUCGAGCUAAUACCGCAUGACAUCUUCGGGACGAAAGUCCUGACGAUCAAAGCGGGGUCGCAAGAUCUCGCGCUACCGGAUGGGCCCGCGCCCGAUUAGCUAGUUGGUGAGGUAACGGCUCACCAAGGCGACGAUCGGUAACCGGCCUGAGAGGGCGAUCGGUCACACCGGAACUGAGACACGGUCCGGACUCCUACGGGAGGCAGCAGUGGGGAAUCUUGCGCAAUGGGCGAAAGCCUGACGCAGCAACGCCGCGUGGAGGAUGAAGGCCCUUGGGUUGUAAACUCCUGUCGGCUGGGAAGAAAUCGUUCGCGGCUAAUACCCGCGGACGUUGACUGUACCAGCAAAGGAAGCCCCGGCUAACUCUGUGCCAGCAGCCGCGGUCAUACAGAGGGGGCCAGCGUUAUUCGGAAUUAUUGGGCGUAAAGGGCGCGUAGGCGGCCAUGCGUGUCUUCCGUGAAAUCCCUCGGCUCAACCGAGGACGUGCGGAAGAAACUGCAAGGCUCGAGUCCAGAAGAGGGGGGCGGAAUUCCCAGUGUAGCGGUGAAAUGCGUAGAUAUUGGGAGGAACACCGGUGGCGAAGGCGGCCCCCUGGGCUGGUACUGACGCUGAUGCGCGAAAGCGUGGGUAGCAAACGGGAUUAGAUACCCCGGUAGUCCACGCCGUAAACGAUGGGCACUUGGUGUCGCGGGUAUCGACCCCCGCGGUGCCGAAGCUAACGCAUUAAGUGCCCCGCCUGGGGAGUACGGUCGCAAGGCUGAACUCAAAUGAAUUGACGG